Molecule: ribosomal RNA, 318 nt
Filed under: Triticum aestivum (bread wheat)
Lineage: Eukaryota; Viridiplantae; Streptophyta; Magnoliopsida; Poales; Poaceae
Description: partial small subunit ribosomal RNA
Source: RNAcentral
AUGGACGCGGAGAACCAGGCGGCGGCGGCCAUGGCAGGAGCUCCUGCGCUGCGGUGUCGCGAGGACAACGGGGUGGAGGCGGCGGGUAGGGCUUGCCGGCGGCGCAACCGGAGCGGCUCGAGGUGGUGGCAAAGGGCAAGGAGGAGCUCGGGCGCGAGGUACGGCGAGGUCCCGCGCAAGGUCUCCUCAUGUGGGUGGUGUCGCGCGUGGGGGACCGAGAGGGAGUUGGGGAUCGAGCUGAGGGAAGUGGACCGAUCGGGAGGAGUGGGUUGUGGGGGCGUGCGGUUAGGGUUACGGGGGAGUGGGAGGGUUAGGUAG